This 274-nucleotide ribosomal RNA is filed under the name uncultured bacterium. Its description in RNAcentral is "partial 16S ribosomal RNA". It matches the Rfam family "Bacterial small subunit ribosomal RNA", at positions 523 to 796 of the family's 1533-position model. The record is from RNAcentral.
AUACGGAGGGUGCAAGCGUUAAUCGGAAUUACUGGGCGUAAAGCGCGCGUAGGCGGCUUGAUAAGUCGGAUGUGAAAUCCCCGGGCUUAACCUGGGAAUUGCAUUCGAUACUGUCAGGCUAGAGUGUGGUAGAGGGAGGUGGAAUUUCCGGUGUAGCGGUGAAAUGCGUAGAUAUCGGAAAGAACAUCAGUGGCGAAGGCGGCUUCCUGGAUCAACACUGACGCUGAGGUGCGAAAGCGUGGGGAGCAAACAGGAUUAGAAACCCCGGUAGUCC